This 200-nucleotide unclassified non-coding RNA is filed under the name Inocybe sp. RNAcentral describes it as "partial internal transcribed spacer 2". Lineage: Eukaryota; Fungi; Basidiomycota; Agaricomycetes; Agaricales; Inocybaceae. The record is from RNAcentral.
UUAAGUUCAGCGGGUAGUCCUACCUGAUUUGAGGUCAAGUUUGUCAAAAGCACAAAAAUAUGUGCGGUUUAGAAGCAGCACAUUGUGGCAUAACCAAAGGCAUAGACAGUAUUUAUCACACCUAGCGGUUUUCCACUCCAGAUACCACUAAUGCAUUUCAGGGGAGCAGGGCUCUCUGAGAAGAAAGCCGGCAACCCCCA